RNAcentral lists this non-coding RNA (1694 nucleotides) under Pongo abelii (Sumatran orangutan). The record is from RNAcentral. Lineage: Eukaryota; Metazoa; Chordata; Mammalia; Primates; Hominidae.
GAGGCGGGUCGGGAGAGGGCUGGGGAACGGAAGGGGUACCCGGGGAGCAUCCUAAGGGAACCUCUUCGCUUAAAAGGGCGGCCGCUGAAGUGGCUCUGAGAACAAAGGAGUUAACAUUCGGACUCCACAGGUGGCCCGGGGUGGCCCUGGAGGAGCCCGCCUUUACCUUGCCCUAGCCCACCGGCGUGUCCCGCAGUUCCGAGCUAAACGCGGCAGGCCGGGAAGGCUCGGGCUGUCUGAAGAGAGGCGUGACCUCGCCUACACCAGAUCCAAGGCGCACAUUCCGAGACACCUCUCAACCUCACUCAACACGUGCCGUUUCCAACUCCGAGGCAGAGGCAGCGCCUGGCGACCCCGGGGCCUGCGUCCCAGCCCGGUCAGCAUCGCAGAUGUUACCCAAACUCUGACGGUCCCUUUAAGAACUCACCUGGAGUCGCGCCCUCCGAAGCUGAGCCGCCGUCGGCCAGCGCUGCAGGCCCCAGCUUAUAAAUCUAUGAAGGUGUCCAGGUCCUGCCAGACUCCACUGCAUCUUUUGCUUUCACUCCAGCAGAGUAGCAGCAUGCUGCCUGUGCCAAGGCAAUCACUAAAAGGAAAGGAUUUAAUGCUGUCAAAAAAGCUUAUGCCAGCUUAGGCUGCAAGAAGAGGAACAGUGUCAAGUAUGUUGAAAGUGGCCAUAUUGGUCAGACCUCCAUGAGAGCCUAGGGGGCAUUGCUUAGCAGCACACUUUUAAAGGAAUCUAAACAAACCAGCAUCUGGAAAGAAGAGAGUAACCACAGCAAUCAGGAAACAACUGUAGAAUCUAGGGCCUUCAUUGGAAAAACAGAAGUCUCCAGGGAGCUGCAGUCGUCAAACAGGCUUAUUCUGUGUGCCCAGUGGGCAAGUACAGUCAAUGGAUGAAAAUUCAACCAAUGGACAAACACAGGAAGUUCUUCCUUAACAUGAGUUGUCAGAAACUGUCCAAAAUUCCGAAGAGCUGCCUCAAGGUAGUGGAAAUUUUUUUUUUUUUUUUUAAUCGGGAAGGUGCUGAAUGAAGCCAGCAAGGAUUCUGUGUCAGAGGGUGGUAGAUACCCAGGACGUAAGGUUGAACUAGGUGACCUCUGAGACCACAGUUCUAAGCUGUUGAAACCUGAGUCCCUGCUGAAUACUGAAAUGGUAUUAGCACCCUUUAGUCUACAUCAAGAAUUCAUGCUACCCAGUUUUAGUGGUACCGAGACUGAUCUCUUUCUCAUAGAUCAUUCUUAACAGAAUAAAAGCUACAGGUUGAAACCAAUUCCCUUUAAAAUGUGGACAGUUUGCCAUCUCCAUGAUGGGCAGUUAGGCACUGAGCUAAUGCUUUUUAAUGGAAGAGCCACCCUAAGUUUCCUGGAUUACGGUAUAAUGGAGUACUAAAUCAGUAUAGGACUAAUAACUGCCUCCCAUGUAAACUGGUCUAUCCGGAGAGUGGUAUAGCCCCUCAUACAGUGUUCAAAGACAGAUUUAACUCACUGCAGGUCCACAGCAACCUAUAAGAUAAACUCAUUAGUUAUGAUCUCCCACUUUGCAAAGGAGGGCACAGAAGAAGAAGAACUGAGAUAACUUGGUUUAGGACACCACAGCUGGCUGGAGCUAGGCUGAACAUUAGUUCAUUGUUUCUUCAACUAAUCUAUGCUGCUUUUUCUCUACUUGGCUCCUUUUCUAAAUUACACAAAACAAAA